CUGGAUUUUACUGCUUUUCUGGGGCAGUCACAGACUUGCCAGUGGAUGGAGUCAGUGGUGGUCCUUGUCCAGCAGGCCAUUAUUGUCCUUCAGGUUCCAUUUCUCCUCAUCCUUGUGCCAAUGGACUGUAUCAGGCACAUGAACGCCAGUCAAUUUGUGAUCCAUGUCCUGCUGGGUUCUACUGCUUCUGUCCUGAAUCAAGAGGUGUUACCUUUCCCCAGACAUGUCCGUCUGGCCACUUCUGCCCUGAGGGAACAGCAUAUCCCAAUGAGUAUAAAUGUCCCAAAGGUACAUUCAGCAUAAUCGAGGGACUGACCACCAAAGAGCAAUGUAUACCAUGCCCUGCUGGCUACUUCUGUGAUUCUGAAGGCUUGAGUGAACCAUCUGGCCCCUGUCUUCCUGGUUACAGCUGCAUUCAUGCUGCUCAAGUGCCAAAUCCAGAAGAUGGUAUCACUGGAAACAUCUGUCCAAGGGGCAAAUACUGUGAAGUUGGC
Long non-coding RNA from Protopterus annectens (West African lungfish), 494 nucleotides. RefSeq lists it as uncharacterized. Lineage: Eukaryota; Metazoa; Chordata; Ceratodontiformes; Protopteridae. The transcript is spliced from 3 exons. The record is from RefSeq and is a predicted model, not a curated record.